AGUAGCUAUUUAGUGUGAUAAUGGCGUUUGAUAGUUUGGACACAAACACCAUUGUCACACUCCACAGCUCUGC
RNAcentral lists this microRNA precursor (73 nucleotides) under Marmota monax (woodchuck). The record is from RNAcentral. Lineage: Eukaryota; Metazoa; Chordata; Mammalia; Rodentia; Sciuridae.